Molecule: non-coding RNA, 77 nt
Organism: Podarcis lilfordi (Lilford's wall lizard)
Lineage: Eukaryota; Metazoa; Chordata; Lepidosauria; Squamata; Lacertidae
Source: the annotation of a GenBank genome assembly
GGGGAAGGGCUGUAGUUCAGCAGUAGAGCGCCUGCUCUCCAUGUAGAUGCUCCCAUGUUCAAUUCAUGGCAUCCCCA